AUGUCCCCUUGAGUUCCCUUUAACGCUUCAUUGUUCAUACUUGGUUGUCUGAUAUCUACCGAUAAAUCAAUCUAAUGUACACUGAAGUGUUUGGGGGGGACUCUAGGUGGUAU
This 113-nucleotide microRNA precursor is filed under the name Eutrema salsugineum. Its description in RNAcentral is "mir-395 microRNA precursor family". It matches the Rfam family "mir-395 microRNA precursor family". Rfam says of the family: mir-395 was identified in both Arabidopsis thaliana and Oryza sativa computationally and was later experimentally verified. mir-395 is thought to target mRNAs coding for ATP sulphurylases. The mature sequence is excised from the 3' arm of the hairpin. Lineage: Eukaryota; Viridiplantae; Streptophyta; Magnoliopsida; Brassicales; Brassicaceae. The record is from Rfam by way of RNAcentral.